GAUCAUGGCUCACGAUGAACGCUAGCGGCAGGCCUAAUACAUGCAAGUCGAACGGGAUAGGCUCCUUCGGGGGCCUUGAGAGUGGCGCACGGGUGCGCAACGCGUAUGCAACCAACCCCCGACGGGCGGAUAGCCGGUGGAAACGCCGGAUAAUACGCCAUGGUUCCGGUGGAGGGCAUCCUCUACUGGAUAAAGCUACGGCGGUCGGGGACGGGCAUGCGUCCCAUUAGAUGGUAGGCGGGGUGACGGCCCACCUAGUCCACGAUGGUAGGGGAUCUGAGAGGACGGUCCCCCACACUGGUACUGAGACACGGACCAGACUCCUGCGGGAGGCAGCAGUAAGGGAUAUUGGUCAAUGGGCGGAAGCCUGAACCAGCCAAUGCCGCGUGAGGGAAUGAGGCCCUACGGGUCGUGAACCUCUUUUAUUCGGGGACAAGGACGCGGUCGUGAACCGUGUUUGAGGGUACCGAAGGAAUAAGCGUCGGCUAACUCCGUGCCAGCCGCCGC
RNAcentral lists this ribosomal RNA (507 nucleotides) under uncultured bacterium. RNAcentral's name for it is "bacterial SSU rRNA". It matches the Rfam family "Bacterial small subunit ribosomal RNA", at positions 15 to 518 of the family's 1533-position model. The record is from RNAcentral.